GUUCUACUCCGCUAGCCAGCACCUCGCCUAAACAGGUGUUCUACUCCUCUAGCCAGCACCUCUCCUAAACAGGUGUUCUACUCCGUUAGCCAGCACCUCGCCUAAACAGGUGUUCUACUCCGCUAGCCAGCACCUCGCCUAAACAGGUGUUCUACUCCUCUAGCCAGCACCUCUCCUAAACAGGUGUUCUACUCCGCUAGCCAGCACCUUGCCUAAACAGGUGUUCUACUCCUCUAGCCAGCACCUCUCCU
RNAcentral lists this long non-coding RNA (251 nucleotides) under Salmo salar (Atlantic salmon). RNAcentral describes it as "lncRNA (ENSSSAG00000098154.1)". The record is from RNAcentral. Lineage: Eukaryota; Metazoa; Chordata; Actinopteri; Salmoniformes; Salmonidae.